UCCGGUUUGGCACCGGCAGUCCCCCGAGAGUCCUCAGCGCCUUGCGGCCUGUUAGCAACACGGGGCGGGGGUUGCGCUCGUUGCGGGACUUAACCCAACAUCUCACGACACGAGCUGACGACAGCCAUGCAGCACCUGUGCUGGAGCUCCGAAGAGGGGCCAAUGUUUCCACGGCUGUCAGUUACAUGUCAAGCCCAGGUAAGGUUCUUCGCGUUGCUUCGAAUUGAACCACAUGCUCCACCGCUUGUGCGGGCCCCCGUCAAUUCCUUUGAGUUUCAGCCUUGCGGCCGUACUCCCCAGGCGGGGUACUUAUUGCGUUAGCGACGGCACCGAAGGGGUCGCUCCCCCCGGCGCCUAGUACCCAUCGUUUACGGCGUGGACUAC
RNAcentral lists this unclassified non-coding RNA (384 nucleotides) under uncultured Gemmatimonadaceae bacterium. Its description in RNAcentral is "contains 16S-23S intergenic spacer region". Lineage: Bacteria; Pseudomonadati; Gemmatimonadota; Gemmatimonadia; Gemmatimonadales; Gemmatimonadaceae. The record is from RNAcentral.